This is a long non-coding RNA of Conger conger (European conger), 2693 nucleotides long. RefSeq lists it as uncharacterized. The record is from RefSeq and is a predicted model, not a curated record. The transcript is spliced from 2 exons. Lineage: Eukaryota; Metazoa; Chordata; Actinopteri; Anguilliformes; Congridae.
UGUGUCCCUGUCCCUGUGUGUCUGUGUCCCUGUCUCUGUGUCCCUGUCUCUGUGUCUCUGUGUCUGUGUCCCUGUCUCUGUCUCUGUGUCCCUGUGUGUCUGUGUCUGUGUCUGUGGUUGACCAGGCCUCUCUGCUGUGUAUUUGCACUGAGUAGAUUCACUCUGUUCACAGGUAUGUGCCACUGCUGAGGUUACUUUUUCAUUUGCUUUGUGUAUAUGCACACAACAUUUUAUGUUUAAUAUUUUUGUAGUUUUAUUUUUAAUAUUGUUUUAUGUUUUGAUAUACAGUAUGAUUUGUAGAUUAUUAACCAGUAAUGAGAGUAAUAAUUUAUGGUUUAUCAUUUGGACAGUUCUAGUUAUGUAAAAUUGUGUAGUUAUAUGCAAGUUGUCAAACACUUGCAGUUGUUACCUGUGUGAAGGGGAGAGGGGGUGGUAUUUUACUGAGCUGUAGAUGGGGAUUGGGGUGUAAAUAUUGUAAAAUGUCCGACAAAGCAAUCAUAAAGCACUUGUUUACGGGCCACUGGUAGUGUGCUGUUAGCGCUAUGCUAGCGCACUGCGGAUGGACGCGACAGCGCUAAAGGAAGUUAGCGCUAAAGGAUGUUAGCCAUGGUGAUUAGCUGCUUAAAGAAGGCAGGAGAGAGGCUGCCACUCACAGACUGAUGCAGGGACCGUGUGUAAGGGACAGAUGGAAACAGACAGUUUGCUGGACUGCAUCUGAAAUGGUUUCAUAAACAGCUUGCAUUGAUAAAAGCUUUGUUUAUUUUGUAUAAUGUCCACUAGGACCCCCAUAAACAGUGAAGUAAGACCCAGACCAUCACUACUGCAGCUGCAGAAACAGGCCCUAAUUAAGACAUCCCAAUAAUAAUAAUAAACUGAAUAAUAAGUGUUAUUACACAUGUUGUAGUGUUGCGAAGCACUGGGAGGGCUCUGCCACUCGUUCACCCUCCUGUCGAAUCUCCCCCUCCACCGUAAGAGGCUUCUGUGGGAGAAUUUAAGAUCUGCGAUUAAGAGCGCUGAAGAUCAGCCAGGGAUGUAGUCGUAAAUCAUUUCCAUGUUAAGCACUAUUAGCGUUUUCAUAUUGGCAUCUAUGUUGAAAGAUUGAUGGUGAUAUUGACAUUACAGUCUUGAUGGUGAUAUGGAUAUCAGGAUCUGGACGUUGGGCUAUUGAUGGUGGUAUUGAUAUUUGGGCAUUGCAUUGUGGGUACUCCUCCAUUUACACUCCUUCAUGUGUGGGUUUCUUUGCUGUUGCAAAGCAACUAAGAACAUUUAUUUUCAUUUUUAUGAAACAGAAUACAAUAUUUUGUUUCUUGUAUUUACACAGCACAAUAUCAGUUUUCAGUCUGCACCUGUAUCAUGUUUUAAAAGAGGAUUGAGUGUUGUCUUGUGUUCUAAAAGAGGUUUGAAUGUUUGUCUUGUAUUCUAAAAGAGGUUUGAGUGUUUGUCUUGUGUUCUAAAAGAGGUUUGAGUGUUUGUCUUGUGUUCUAAAAGAGGUUUGAGUGGCUGCUGCAGAAUGAUGUGGGUAAUGUGACCUGGGCUUUUUAAGUUUAUUUUAAACCUGGCCAAAUUUUGGGACAAAUACUGAUUGACUCCUGGUCUAAGGCCCCGGGUUUAACAUGGUGACCUGGAUUAUCCAGUCUUAUGGGACAGUUAAUGUACAGUAUAUUAUGUUUGUUAUUUUAUGUGACAGGACAUUUAAAGUUGUGGUAGACUUUCUGAUGCUGUAGCAUUUUUAAAAGACACACUCGGGUCAGUUUGCUCUCAAGGCCUUACAUUGUUCUAUUAUUUUCAUUCACCUUACAGUUCACUAAAUCACACUAAAUGUCACAAUUUUUUUUGUAUCAUUUUUUUGUAAAGGUAAAUUCUCUGAGUGAAUAUUGAAGGUGUAGUAAACUAGUUACAUUGAAGGUGUAUAAACUGUAGUUAUACAGCAUCCUCCAGCAGUGCUAAUGCAGCGUACAAAUGGAGCUUGUACAUUGUAGCUUUUGUCCGUUUUUAAUAAAUCUGUGUACAGUGCCAUAAUCUGCAUAAAUCAUACCAUUUUUUAACACCAAGGUGUAAAGAAGAACAUUUGAUUUCAUUUUUUAGUUACUUGAAAAAUCUGUUUAAGAUGUUGAUUUGGUUAACAAAAAGGUUGUUUAUAAUGUGAAAGUCCUGUGCCUUGUUUGCUGUUGAAUGUGUGAAAUGCAUCGUAGUGUAAAAUGCCAUGGCGUAAUAUUAUUUUGUUUCCUGUGUUCACACUACUGACUAUUGCUUGAGAUAGAUUGUGAGAGAGAUCUCAUAAUGCCACAAAUUCUGUGUCUCUUUUAAAGUACUGUUAUGUCAUUGGUAACAUUGUCCAUCAAUCUGUAUGUACGUAUGUAUUUGCACACAAAUUGUGUUGUCAAAUGUGUAAUGAUAUGAUUGGAAAAAAUACUGACCUGACAAUUUAUGAGUUGAAAAGGAAGAUGUUUAAUAUAAAUGUUGCUCUUGUAAGUUGCAAUUAGAUUUUUUCUGUGGUCGCUGUCUUACUGUGUAGCUGUCACGAUGUGAUCCAUGCAGAAAAUCUUCAUGGAUCUUGUUUUGAAAAAGCAUUUUUCAUAGACGGAGAUGAAAGGAUUCUAUGCAAUAGUGUGGCAUGAUGACUUCCAUGUGUACAUUUCUGUUCUUUAAUCUCAGCCUCGUGUGAAAUGCUAAUAAAUAAUAUCAUUAACACA